CAUGAGUCAGCUGACCUUGGACUGAACUUCUUUUCCUCCUCUACAUUGUUCUUGUCAGGUCCUUUGAUCACAGUGAUGAAAAAAACAGACUAAAGCAAAUGCAUUCCUUAAAUUUAGGGGUUUUGAACUAAUUAUACAUCUUGGUCAAUUUGGCUGAUAUUUUUUUCAGGUCCAAGGAUUGAAUACAGGGUCUUAUGUGUGCUAGGAAAGUGUUCUGCCAUUGAACUAAAUCUCCAACCCUUAAUUUGGUUCUUUUUGAAUUACGCUUUUGCCUCUGACCUAAAAUCAUAGUGGAAACUUUAACCUCAGUUGUGGCAAGAAGGAUGGAAAAUAGGCCUUAAGGCUAAGAUAGCCCACAUCUAGACAACCCCAGUGUCUCCAGUGCUCACCCAGAAGUAGCCCAGGCCAGCUGGCUUGUGCCAGGAGGGCAAGGUCAGUGGUCUUCUGUGGGGAGAAGGUGGCUCCUGUCUGAUUUAGCUGGCUGCUAUUAGGGAUUGGACUGAUUUUCCCCAGAAAUAGCCAAAAGCAAAAUAGAAGGAAGAAAAGAAAGUCUCUGGUAAGAACCCGUACACCCCAGAAGAUAUCCCCACCAAUUAAGAAACAGAACUAAGGUUGGGGGUCACUCCUUCCUGCCCUCCUUCUUUUCAUGCAUACCCUCACUCCUGCCCCCCAGAACAAUCCAACAUGUGAAGUCUUUCCUGCUCACUCUGGCACACUUUGCCACUCUCCAGGACAAACAUAUGCUUGGCAGUAUCAGGUGAAAGACAAGCAAUGGAGUGUUCUCGAGAUGAGACUCAGAAGGCACUUGCUGUCCACCCUUGCUGUCCCACAAGCCCUUAUGCAGAUGAGUGCCAAGAGCAGAUGUGUCCUGAGGAGAACAGGCCCUUACCCAAACAGAUAAUAGAAGGAUACAGGGCGGAUAUUGAGUCUAACCAUAUGAAAUUGCCAGUUACCUAGGCAGACAAAUAGUUGGAAACAUAGAUAUGAUUAAUGAAUAAAAAGAAUUAUGUAUAGCAAGGUAGAUACAAAGGCAGAAGUAGC
RNAcentral lists this long non-coding RNA (1041 nucleotides) under Marmota monax (woodchuck). Lineage: Eukaryota; Metazoa; Chordata; Mammalia; Rodentia; Sciuridae. The record is from RNAcentral.